CGCAAGCCUGACGGAGCAAGACCGCGUGCGGGAUGACGGCCUAAUGGUUGAAAACCGCUUUUCUCUGGGAAGAUGAUGACGGUACCAGAAGAAUCAGCCUCGGCUAACUCCGUGCCAGCAGCCGCGGUAAUACGGAGGAGGCAAGCGUUAUCCGGAAUUAUUGGGCGUAAAGCGUCCGUAGGUGGUUAUUCAAGUCUGCUGUCAAAGCGUGGGGCUUAACUCCAUAGAGGCAGAGGAAACUGGAUGACUUGAGUGCGGUAGGGGUCGAGGGAAUUCCCAGCGUAGCGGAGAAAUGCGUAAAUAUUGGAAAGAACACCAUUGGCGAAAGCGCUCAACUGGGCCUGCACUGACNCUGAGGGACGAAAGCUAGGGGAGCG
This 377-nucleotide ribosomal RNA is filed under the name uncultured cyanobacterium. RNAcentral describes it as "bacterial SSU rRNA". It matches the Rfam family "Bacterial small subunit ribosomal RNA", at positions 376 to 770 of the family's 1533-position model. Lineage: Bacteria; Bacillati; Cyanobacteriota. The record is from RNAcentral.